RNAcentral lists this ribosomal RNA (166 nucleotides) under Fimbristylis pierotii. RNAcentral describes it as "5.8S ribosomal RNA". It matches the Rfam family "5.8S ribosomal RNA". From Rfam's summary of the family: 5.8S ribosomal RNA (5.8S rRNA) is a component of the large subunit of the eukaryotic ribosome. It is transcribed by RNA polymerase I as part of the 45S precursor that also contains 18S and 28S rRNA. Functionally, it is thought that 5.8S rRNA may be involved in ribosome translocation. Lineage: Eukaryota; Viridiplantae; Streptophyta; Magnoliopsida; Poales; Cyperaceae. The record is from RNAcentral.
GAGAUGACUCCCGGCAACGGAUAUCUCGGCUCUCGCAUCGAUGAAGAACGUAGCGAAAUGCGAUACGUGGUGUGAAUUGCAGAAUCCCGUGAACCAUCGAGUCUUUGAACGCAAGUUGCGCCCGAGGGAUCAUCUCGAGGGCACGCCUGCCUCUUGGGCGUAAGAA